UUGGGUCUUGGCUCGUGAGAAAGCAGUUUCUGGGCCCCGCCCCUAACUUAGGGGGGGACUCACGGUUUUAAAGAAGCCCUCUCUGAGUCUGCCUUCGUCACUCCUCCUUCUAGAGGUUUCUGCACACAUUGCAGGGGGUUCCACUCACAGUCUUAGGGGGCAGAGCCAGCAAGCCCCCCGGGGAUCCCCUGGCCAAACCUACUCCGGGGGCCUCUCAGGGCCUCAUCGAGGAGCACGGGGCCACAGCGAGGGGCCAGGUGUUUAGUUCUGUGUGUUUCUGGAAGGAGCCUGGGAACAGGUGCAUGGUCUUGGAGAAGCUGCUGCCCCCACCCCCACCCCGGCACUGGCUCCCCGGGGGAAGGAGAACUUCCCGGCCGGCCCUGCCCCUGCCCUGCGACGGCUGCACCCAGAGAACUGAGACAGGAAGUGGGUGGCGGCCGCAGGGAGGGCGGCACCCGUGCAGGCGGUUUACGUGGGAGCCACGAGGACCUUGCCCCACGGCCUCUUCUGGUGGCUUCGAGGGUCAGGACUUGGAGAACGUGGACACGGGACUUGAGCAGAAAGGCCUGGCGAGAAGUUGGAGCUUCUGUGACUUCUGUGCACCGACAGGCCCGCAGCCCCUGUGCCGGCGAGGCCCCAGCCCAGGUGACCGAGGCCCCAGGCCUGUCCUCUCUUGCUGGGUCUCCUUUUCCUCUGGGGGCUGUGGUGCAGCUGAGCCCAGGAAACGUGUGGCGUUGCCGUAGAGACGGUAACCUGCCCAGGUGCCUCACAGCGGCCCUGCCCCCUUCUUCCUGCCUGUCCUCCCUGCUGACUUCUGAGGUCACGGGGAAGGGACUCGGCAAGGGCAGGAGGCACAUUUGGGGGGCGUCCCGUCCAGCGCGUGACGGAGGCGGCACAGGAGAGCGGUGUGCGAGAAUCUGGCCCUCCGUGUCCUGGCUCUGUGGCCUUCGGUGAGUUACUCAACCUCUCUGUGCCUCGGUCCCACAUCUGCAGAACGGAGGUGGUGACAAUCAUGCUUAUACCGCACGGGGUUGUCAUGACGACGAAACCGGGUAACAUUGUCAGUUCUGUGCUUGGCGAGUGCUCAACAGGGUGCCGAUGAUGUUAAAGGCUCUGAUUACGACUGCGGGGGCGGGGGGGGGGGAUGGGGAGGAAGCGCAGAUGAGCGGGGGGUGGGGGGGGUGCUCUGCUGGCGUCCCAACGCCCGGACACCGUGCUCCUGCCACCUCGUCCUCUUUCCGAUGAAUCGCCUUUUGGCCUCCUGUUUCACGUAACCCGUGGCCACAUGGAAUACCUACUGGCCGUUCCGGAGGCCUCUCAAGUUCCUCCUGCUCCAAGCCCAACUCGCUCCUCGACCCCCAGCCCUCGUCCCUCCUUCUCGGAAAGUGGUGUCCUCUGCUGCCCGUCGCCUGGCCCAGCAGGAACAAGGAGGAACGCAGGCUUUGGGGUGGGGCCACCUGGCUCGGACCCCAGUUCCGCCAAUCCUGUGUGACCCCGCAGGUCCCUGGACCCCUCUGAGCCUCAGUUUCACAGCACAUAAACCGUGUCCGUCUUAACAGAUCUCUGGGGAAAAAAUAAAUAAAUAAAGGAGAUACUCCACGGGAGUAUCCACUCCCACCUCCACGGGAUGUGGCCGCACAGGUGACACUAAGAAGGAGCCACACCCCCCUCCACGUCCAAGCUCCGUCAGUGACAGGAUCCUUGGGCGCCACCCUGAACUCCCCCAGCAGCCCCCUUCCUGUCCUGUCACCCUCGUGCUCUCCUGUUCCAGUCCAGCUGCAAAAUGCAGCUGCAAAAACACCUUGCAGAACACCUUGCAAAAAUGCCACAGCUUGGGGCACCGGCGCGGCUCAGUCGGUUGAGUUUCCGACUUCAGCUCAGGUCAUGAUCUCACGGUUCGUGGGUUCGAGCCCCAUG
Molecule: RNA transcript, 1917 nt
Organism: Lynx canadensis (Canada lynx)
Lineage: Eukaryota; Metazoa; Chordata; Mammalia; Carnivora; Felidae
Gene name: translation initiation factor IF-2-like
Exons: 2
Source: RefSeq, a predicted model, not a curated record